CGGACGGGUGAGUAACACGUGGAUAACCUACCUAUAAGACUGGGAUAACUUCGGGAAACCGGAGCUAAUACCGGAUAAUAUAUUGAACCGCAUGGUUCAAUAGUGAAAGACGGUUUUGCUGUCACUUAUAGAUGGAUCCGCGCCGCAUUAGCUAGUUUGUAAGGUAACGGCUUACCAAGGCAACGAUGCGUAGCCGACCUGAGAGGGUGAUCGGCCACACUGGAACUGAUACACGGUCCAGACUCCUACGGGAGGCAGCAGCG
This 263-nucleotide ribosomal RNA is filed under the name uncultured Staphylococcus sp. Its description in RNAcentral is "partial 16S ribosomal RNA". It matches the Rfam family "Bacterial small subunit ribosomal RNA", at positions 99 to 356 of the family's 1533-position model. Lineage: Bacteria; Bacillati; Bacillota; Bacilli; Caryophanales; Staphylococcaceae. The record is from RNAcentral.